AUCCGAUAAGGGGAAUAGGAUCUACUUAUUUUUGAACUUGUCUCCAAGGGUUCUUGUCAGAUAAAAAAGGAACGUUGAAACCCUUCCAUUAGGGGUUGAGAGGGAGAGGAGGAGGAAACAAGGGGUAAAACAAGGGUGUUUUGUUUCUUCCUUCCCAGACUGUUUACUAGGAAACUCUGAAGCCCCUUUUCACAUUCUGCCUGGUAUUAAAUUGACACGACACUGGCAUAGAGGGGAAGGAGACCUGGUUAGAGGGCAUUGUGGGUCUGAUGAUGGACCACAUUCAGGUGUGAUACUGAAAGAGCAGCCUGAGGUUAUUCCAUGGGGAAUCAGGAGGUCUCCUGUAGCCUAGAAGAGCCCCGCGGUUGAGGCAAAGAAGAGGCAGUGGGGGACCUAGAGUUGAUGGGGUGCUCUAGAAAAGCAGCCAGAUUUUAUCAGAUACCUGGACAGUAGACAUAGGGUAUCAUGUGAAAUGAGGGAGACCGGAAAAGCACAAACAGGAGUAUAUCAAGCACCCCAUGUGCUGCUGCCACAAUGAUAAGUAAGGUCCCUAAGAUUUGGAUCAGGUAGAAAAAGGAGGACCUAAACAAGGGAAACCUGAGAUUACUCCCCUAAAGGUUAAUCUGAAAGACUCUAGGUUAUUCUUAAAGACUUAAAUACCUUAAAUGGACAAAUGAAUGUUUUUGUUUUGUUUUGUUUUGCUGCUGUGUAAGAACAGUGGAUCAACACAGAAUGACAUUAGUUCUAAAAAAAAUUAACUUUUUUUGGCAUAUUUGAGCAGGAGGGUACAAACUUUGACCCUUAUCACUCAAGGUUAAUCUUUUAAUUUGUGGUCUUAAAUCCGCUUUCUCCAUCUGCUCCAGGACUGUAUGCUUACUCUCUGUCUUCUUACCCAUAAACUCUAAGUACUUCUUAGUGACCUUAAGAUUAGUCAUCUUUGACUUCAUACUUGCCAAACCUAAUGUUUUCUCUAUGGCCCUUUUCUGUCUGGUUUCUGUGCUGAUCCUGGGACUCUCUGCCCUCAGAUUCCUUCUCCUUCAUGCCCUGGUCUGUGUUGUAAGCAGAGGUCCGAGCCCGGUAGGCUGUUUCCUGGUCUCCCACAUGACUCGCUUCUGGCUGGGUUGAGACAGGGGCAGUGAUGGCCGAACACUGAAAGGGCAUCUUUGUGUAACUCCAAGAUCUGAAUCAUCCCUGGGUCAGCUUUGAUUGCUAUUGUUGUUUUAUUCUCUUGAUUUUCAGACACCUUUUUUUGUUUUUUCAAAGGUCUGUACAUGUUGAUUAUUGCAUUAUGUUCCAAUGGACUUUUCAAUAUCUUCCUUAUCCCAAACUGAAACUUAUAUACGUUUUUAAAUGAUUGCACAGUAUUUCACUUGUAGAAAACAGACGUUGAAGGUUAACUGGCUAAAUGAAUAGGUAGAAGUAUGGGGUGAAGUGAUGAUCGGAAGCAACUUUUUGCCAAGAUUCUGAUAUCCUGCCGAGAAUCACUCUCUCCAGUGUUACUCAUGCAAGAGUGUCUUUUCCCAAGGUGGAUGCAUGCAGAAAAAGGUGAGAAGCAGUGCUCUGUGGAAAAGACAGCUUCCUGUACAGAUCUGCUUCUUGACUCAUUGGAAAGAAAUAGAAGUGGGCUGAAAAUUAAAUAGAAGCCCAGAUAGUACAAAUGUGGAGACAGUGCUUCUCCAAAGUAUCCACCAGGGCAGAGGAAGGUAAAGAUAUGCUUCUGGAACCGUGGUGUGGGCCAGGAAGCCAGUCUGCCCUAAAGGGAGAGUUAAGUUGGAAGUAGGUUCUACUCUACUUGUGUGUUCAUUUUACUUUGAAUCAAGUUGACUUUCUCAAUGCAGGGCAGGAGUUUUACUUGGCGACUUUGUGUAUUUACAGCCACAUUGUUCCCCAGUAGCUCCUCCCUAUUCCUCCUGCUUCUUCUUUGAAAAGCACAACUCUAGGGUGCAGAGAGAUAACUCCCAGGCAGCAGGUCUCCUUCCCAGAGAAAGUUUUGUUAGAGAAAGAGGGGUGGAGGCCGUCAGAUGCUUGUCAUGGGGAUGAGAGGGGGCCAUCAGAUGCUUGGCAUGGCAUUGAAAGGUUAGGGCGGCUUCCCUUUGGACUUUUUUCUUAGCCUCGUCCCGGUGCCUCAGGAUUUAGGGUAAGACUGGUUUUGACCCACGUGAGCAACAGCAUUUCCCUUCCAUGUUCUAAAUGAGUCCAUCGUCCUCUUGUGAAACUGCCCAUAAGAGAAAAUCCCAUCUUGCCGGAUCACUUGUGUGUCCGGCUGCAAACUGCAAAUCUAGUUGCGUCUUCCCCAUCUGCUGAAACAUUGUUACCAGGGUCCCAGAAGACAACGGAGAGUCAUAUAUAUGUUCAUUUUAUGGAGGCGGACAUUCCUUGCUGUGCACUUCAGCUUUGCUCUUCCCAGACAGCUGUAAUCUCACUCAGGAGGGAAGUGUUGCGAUGGUGGGAAUAGAAGCUUUGAAUACACUGUAAAUCUGAUAUGCAAAUGUGAUCACAGUUGCGUUAUUUGCUAAAGUUCAUUCUGAGGUACUCUGGGAUGGGAUUAAUUUUAAGGGCAAUACAGCAUGUAGUCUACUGAAUUUAGAGGGCCUCAGGUAUAAUUGAACCUGCCUGUUUUCUUUUUACCAAGGGAAUUUUUCAUAUAAAAUGGAAGCAUAACCGUUAGAGUAGAACACUGCAAUGUCUUAUUUUUACUGGGGUUUAGACUAUACCUGGAGAUGAGCUAUAGGAUAAAUGGGCCUAUUGAAGCAUAGGUCAAGCUAAUAAAAUAAAAAUAUGUUAAAUUUUGUCUAUUUAUAUACUCUUUUGUGCAUCGCAAGAGUGCCUUGUACUUUUUGGAGAAAAGCUUCUUUUAUCUAUAUCUACCUACCUACCUGUCUUUUCAAACUCUUUCAGAUUUUUCCCAGCUGUAAUUUAUCAUUUCCUUAUCAAAAUUUAUGUUCCGUAAAUCUGCAACAAUCAUUUGGCAAUUGGUCUUAUAAUAUGCUGUUUUAAAAUUGAUGUUUAGAUUAUGUAUUAUUGCACAACGUGUAUCUUUUUUUCCUAACUGGAUUAUAAGCCUUCAGAGAACGGGGACUCUGAUUUCCUUUUUGUAUUACCCAAAAGUCCUAAUGUAGUUCUCAAUGAAUAUUUUAUUGAGUUUCCGUUAUAGGUGCACCUUGUUUUAUUGUGCUUUGCUUUAUUGCACUUCACAGAUAUUGCAUUUUUAAAAAUCGAAGGUUUUUGCCAUCCUUGCAUCGAGUAAGCCUAUCAGGGCUCUUUUUUCAAAGCGUUUUCUCAUUCCACGUCCCCGUGUCACAUUUUGGUAAUUCUUGCAAUAUUUCAGAUGCUUCACCAGUAACAAGAUUAUAGCUUUCCGAAGGCUCAGCUGGUGUUGAUCAUUUCUUAGCAGUAAAGUGUUUUUUAAAUUAAGGUAUGUACAUUUUUUUUUUAGACACGAGGCUAUUGCACAAUUGAUGGACUGCAGUGCAGUGUAACAUGCUUUUAUAUGCACUGGGAGACCAAAACAUGGAUGACUUAUUUUCCUGUGAUAUUUGCUUUAUUGUGCUGGUCUGGAAGUGCACCCGCAACAUCUAAGAGGUUUGUCUGUAUAUUGGCACAUUUGUUAAACCCGUAAAAUAAAACCGAGCCUCAAAAUAUUUUGCAAUUACUCAGGAGCCAGGUGUAUGAAGUCACAUUAUUUUUCUCUUCAUGGAAAACUACCCAUGCCAAUUUAUUUCAUGAAUAUUGCUGAGAGUUUAGCUUUUAAGCAAUGUUAUGUAUGGUCAUUUUUUUUUUCAGUUCAUGAAAUUAUUUUAUUUUUACUCUGGGUGCACAAGAAGACAUAUUUUCCAUUAUCCCCUUGACUCUAGGGACUCUGUCACUAAGCUCCUCCAAUGGAAAGUGAGUGGGAACGAGAGAUGCCAGUUCCAGGCCUAAAUGUAAAAGUCCCCGUGCAAAUCUUCCUCCAUUUUUCUUCCUAACCACACAGUAGAAAGGAAGGCUUUUGAGACGGUGGAAACCAGAGUGGAAACAGUUCGCAUCCUGAGUUACCACUUAGAGGAGCUACUCAGGAGAUCUCCCGGACAGACGCUUUAGCUCUGGGUUUUAUAAGAGCAAGAAUAUUGUGUUGUUAUGUAAAGCUCUUGAGACAUGAGGGUUGGCUGUCACAAGUUAAUGCUGAAUAAUACAUGUAGGGAUUGAAGGGUGAAGAGCAAGAAUUAGAGGAAAGCAAAUGAGAGGAGGGCGGCGGGGAGAUUGGGAUCAAAUAAUGCAGUCUUCAGUUGGGCUCCAUGGAGGCAUGCUCAGAAAUAAGCCAUCGCUGGAGUUCCUGUGCGGCUCAGCAGGUUACCAGCCUGACUAGUAUUCAUGAUUUCGGGUUCAAUCCUUGGCCUUGCUUAGUGGGUUGAGGAUCCAGCGUCGCUGUGAGCCGUGGUGUGGCUCACAGACGUGGCUCCUAUCCCGCUAUUGCUGUGGCUGUGGUGUAGGCCUGAGCUGCAGCUCUGAUUCGACCCCUGACCCAGCGAACGGUCGUAUACCGCAGGUACAGCCUUAAAAAGAAAAAAGAAGACGUUGCUGGAAGUGUUAAUGGUUGUGGGGACUUGAACUUCAAUGGGGGCCAAAUAUUUAGUUUAAAUGUUUUUAGACAGCAACACAUGAUACAUAUAAGAGAAUAUAUAGUAACAUUUAAUUGUUGAAGUAUAAUAAGAGAAUGAGCACUUGUGGACCCAUCACCAAGCCUAAGAAUCAAAACAUUAUCACUAUUGUUGAAGCUGCCACUGUUAUGGAUAAAUUU
This 4777-nucleotide long non-coding RNA is filed under the name Sus scrofa (pig). Its description in RNAcentral is "lncRNA (ENSSSCG00000057013.1)". The record is from RNAcentral. Lineage: Eukaryota; Metazoa; Chordata; Mammalia; Artiodactyla; Suidae.